RNAcentral lists this ribosomal RNA (252 nucleotides) under uncultured bacterium. RNAcentral's name for it is "partial 16S ribosomal RNA". It matches the Rfam family "Bacterial small subunit ribosomal RNA", at positions 524 to 776 of the family's 1533-position model. The record is from RNAcentral.
UACGGAGGAUGCGAGCGUUAUCCGGAUUUAUUGGGUUUAAAGGGUGCGCAGGCGGAAUGUCAAGUCAGCGGUAAAAUUUCGGGGCUCAACCCCGUCGUGCCGUUGAAACUGGCGUUCUUGAGUGUUGGAGAGGCAGGCGGAAUUCCGUGUGUAGCGGUGAAAUGCGUAGAUAUACGGAGGAACACCAGUGGCGAAGGCGGCCUGCUGGACAAUAACUGACGCUGAGGCGCGAAAGCGUGGGUAUCGAACAGG